This is a long non-coding RNA of Phyllostomus hastatus (greater spear-nosed bat), 535 nucleotides long. RefSeq lists it as uncharacterized. The record is from RefSeq and is a predicted model, not a curated record. Lineage: Eukaryota; Metazoa; Chordata; Mammalia; Chiroptera; Phyllostomidae. The transcript has 2 exons.
CAACAAAAAGACCUAGAGAAAACCAAAACCCCAGAAUAGAAGGUGUGUGACUUCACAGUCCCCGAGUGACUAUGCAGCAGAGGACCCACCCCCACUAAAGCCAACACUGGACUACAGGAUUCACUCUCUCCGCUUUGUGCAAGCCUGAAUGGUGAUCCAUAAAAAUGUCAUAAAUUAUAGAGUGCAAAUAGUGUCGAAUCCUGUGCUCACAAGGGACCCAAAGUGGUAAUCCUGCAUUCCUCAGUUUUAAAUACACAGAAAAAUGCUCUGGCCUACCGUGUAAAAGGAUGACAUUUGCAAAAACACCUCAGUGGAGCUCAUCACUGAUUUCUGCUGCCAGUGAAGGGAGGGGAGACAAGAAGAUGAGCUGGACAGUAGCGUGACUAAACUGUCAUUCUAUUCAUGAAAAGUCCAAAUACAAUGGGAGGGCAACAGUAUGUUUACUCCAACUAAAAUUAGAUCAAAUCCUUCUUGUCCAGCUUGCCAGAUUUGUUGAAGUGUUAACAGACCAAUACAAAUAUUGUUCUUUGCUGCA